UAGGGAAUAUUGGACAAUGGGGGCAACCCUGAUCCAGCCAUGCCGCGUGAAUGAUGAAGGCCUUCGGGUUGUAAAGUUCUUUUGGCGGGGACGAUGAUGACGGUACCCGCAGAAUAAGCUCCGGCUAACUUCGUGCCAGCAGCCGCGGUAAUACGAAGGGAGCUAGCGUUGUUCGGAAUUACUGGGCGUAAAGGGCGCGUAGGCGGUUUGGCAAGUUGGAUGUGAAAGCCCUGGGCUCAACCCGGGAAUUGCAUUCAAGACUGCCUUGCUUGAAUUCGGUAGAGGUUGGUGGAAUUUCCAGUGUAGAGGUGAAAUUCGUAGAGAUUGGAAAGAACACCCGUGGCGAAGGCGGCCAACUGGACCGACAUUGACGCUGAGGCGCGAAAGCGUGGGGAGCAAACAGG
This 404-nucleotide ribosomal RNA is filed under the name uncultured bacterium. RNAcentral describes it as "bacterial SSU rRNA". It matches the Rfam family "Bacterial small subunit ribosomal RNA", at positions 355 to 776 of the family's 1533-position model. The record is from RNAcentral.